This 373-nucleotide ribosomal RNA is filed under the name uncultured organism. Its description in RNAcentral is "partial 16S ribosomal RNA". It matches the Rfam family "Bacterial small subunit ribosomal RNA", at positions 527 to 896 of the family's 1533-position model. The record is from RNAcentral.
GUAGGUGGCAAGCGUUGUCCGGAAUUAUUGGGCGUAAAGCGCGCGCAGGCGGUUCUUAAGUCUGAUGUGAAAGCCCACGGCUCCAACCGUGGAGGGUCAUUGGAAACUGGAGAACUUGAGUACAGAAGAGGAAAGCGGAAUUCCACGUGUAGCGGUGAAAUGCGUAGAGAUGUGGAGGAACACCAGUGGCGAAGGCGGCUUUCUGGUCUGUAACUGACGCUGAGGCGCGAAAGCGUGGGGAGCAAACAGGGAUUAGAUACCCUGGUAGUCCACGCCGUAAACGAUGAGUGCUAAGUGUUAGGGGGGUUUCCGCCCCCUUAGUGCUGCAGCUAACGCAUUAAGCACUCCGCCUGGGGAUACGGCCGCAAGGCUG